GCGAGAAGUGAGGACACCAAAAGAUAAUAAGGAUGCUAAUCCCGCUGUGUAUCUUUUCAAUCUGACAGUCCCAGGAAAGGAGUCAAGUAGCAGAAAAGAGGCUCUUGUGCCUUUAUUUGAGCAAAUAUCAGCCGGAACCAUCUUAAGAGUGAUAAGUGCCGCUAACAAAGUUUUUUGCUGGACACUUGAACAUCUACCUUCAUUCUUGAGAAGAUGGACAUUGACAUUGAAGGAGUCCAGCAGCAUUGUAAAUGGCACAGUAAAAAUAUCAACACGAUGGGAGUGUUUCCAACAGCAGCAGAGAAAUGGAAAAUUUUGAAGAUGCUGCCCAGAUAACUCAAUGUGGAAUGAAAGGAAACUAACAGCCAUUGAACACUUUUUAUUAACUGUGCUUUUUUUGUUGAAAGUGAAUAAAUUAAUGAACAC
Long non-coding RNA from Carcharodon carcharias (great white shark), 426 nucleotides. RefSeq lists it as uncharacterized. The record is from RefSeq and is a predicted model, not a curated record. The transcript is spliced from 3 exons. NCBI's taxonomy places the organism in Eukaryota, Metazoa, Chordata, Chondrichthyes, Lamniformes, Lamnidae.